CCGGCGCACGGGUGCGUAACGCGUAUGCAACCUACCUUGAUCAGGGGGAUAGCCCGGAGAAAUCCGGAUUAAUACCGCAUAAAACCACAGUCCUUCAUGGGACAAUGGUCAAACAUUCAUGGGAUCAGGAUGGGCAUGCGUGCCAUUAGCUAGUUGGCGGGGUAACGGCCCACCAAGGCGACGAUGGCUAGGGGAUCUGAGAGGAUGACCCCCCACACUGGUACUGAGACACGGACCAGACUCCUACGGGAGGCAGCAGUAAGGAAUAUUGGUCAAUGGGGGCAACCCUGAACCAGCCAUGCCGCGUGCAGGAAGACGGCCCUCCGGGUUGUAAACUGCUUUUGUACGGGAAUAAACCUGUGUAUGUAUACACAGCUGAAUGUACCGUAAGAAUAAGGAUCGGCUAACUCCGUGCCAGCAGCCGCGGUAAUACGGAGGAUCCAAGCGUUAUCCGGAUUUAUUGGGUUUAAAGGGUGCGUAGGCGGCCUGUUAAGUCAGGGGUGAAAGACGGUGGCUCAACCAUCGCAGUGCCCUUGAUACUGAUGGGCUUGAAUUGACUAGAGGUAGGCGGAAUGUGACAAGUAGCGGUGAAAUGCAUAGAUAUGUCACAGAACACCGAUUGCG
RNAcentral lists this ribosomal RNA (624 nucleotides) under uncultured bacterium. RNAcentral describes it as "bacterial SSU rRNA". It matches the Rfam family "Bacterial small subunit ribosomal RNA", at positions 95 to 717 of the family's 1533-position model. The record is from RNAcentral.